Molecule: ribosomal RNA, 497 nt
Filed under: uncultured bacterium
Lineage: Bacteria
Description: partial 16S ribosomal RNA
Rfam family: Bacterial small subunit ribosomal RNA
Source: RNAcentral
GAUGAACGCUGGCGGCGUGCCUAAUACAUGCAAGUCGAGCGAACAGACGAGGAGCUUGCUCCUCUGACGUUAGCGGCGGACGGGUGAGUAACACGUGGAUAACCUACCUAUAAGACUGGGAUAACUUCGGGAAACCGGAGCUAAUACCGGAUAAUAUAUUGAACCGCAUGGUUCAAUAGUGAAAGACGGUUUUGCUGUCACUUAUAGAUGGAUCCGCGCCGCAUUAGCUAGUUGGUAAGGUAACGGCUUACCAAGGCAACGAUGCGUAGCCGACCUGAGAGGGUGAUCGGCCACACUGGAACUGAGACACGGUCCAGACUCCUACGGGAGGCAGCAGUAGGGAAUCUUCCGCAGAGGGCGAAAGCCUGACGGAGCAACGCCGCGUGAGUGAUGAAGGUCUUCGGAUCGUAAAACUCUGUUAUGAGGGAAGAACAAAUGUGUAAGUAACUAUGCACGUCUUGACGGUACCUAAUCAGAAAGCCACGGCUAACUACGUG